UCAGUCGACUCCUACGGGGAGGCAGCAGUGGGGGAAUAUGGACAUGGGGGGAACCCUGAUCCAGCCAUGCCGCGUGUGUGAAGAAGGCCUUAUGGUUGUAAAGCACUUUAAGCGAGGAGGAGGCUACUGAGACUAAUACUCUUGGAUAGUGGACGUUACUCGCAGAUAAGCACCGGCUAACUCUGUGCCAGCAGCCGCGGUAAUACAGAGGGUGCGAGCGUUAAUCGGAUUUACUGGGCGUAAAGCGUGCGUAGGCGGCUUUUAAGUCGGAUGUGAAAUCCCCGAGCUUAACUUGGGAAUUGCAUUCGAUACUGGGAAGCUAGAGUAUGGGAGAGGAUGGUAGAAUUCCAGGUGUAGCGGUGAAAUGCGUAGAGAUCUGGAGGAAUACCGAUGGCGAAGGCAGCCAUCUGGCCUAAUACUGACGCUGAGGUACGAAAGCAUGGGGAGCAAACAGGAUUAGAUACCCUGGUAG
Molecule: ribosomal RNA, 472 nt
Filed under: uncultured bacterium
Lineage: Bacteria
Description: bacterial SSU rRNA
Rfam family: Bacterial small subunit ribosomal RNA
Source: RNAcentral